RNAcentral lists this ribosomal RNA (252 nucleotides) under uncultured bacterium. RNAcentral's name for it is "partial 16S ribosomal RNA". It matches the Rfam family "Bacterial small subunit ribosomal RNA", at positions 524 to 776 of the family's 1533-position model. The record is from RNAcentral.
UACAGAGGUCUCAAGCGUUGUUCGGAUUCAUUGGGCGUAAAGGGUGUGUAGGUGGCGCCGUAAGUCGGGUGUGAAAUUUCGGAGCUUAACUCCGAAACUGCAUUCGAUACUGGCGUGCUUGAGGACUGGAGAGGAGACUGGAAUUCAUGGUGUAGCAGUGAAAUGCGUAGAGAUCAUGAGGAAGACCAGUGGCGAAGGCGGGUCUCUGGACAGUUCUGACACUGAGACACGAAGGCCAGGGGAGCAAACGGG